This 73-nucleotide transfer RNA is filed under the name Ailuropoda melanoleuca (giant panda). It matches the Rfam family "tRNA". From Rfam's summary of the family: Transfer RNA (tRNA) molecules are approximately 80 nucleotides in length. Their secondary structure includes four short double-helical elements and three loops (D, anti-codon, and T loops). Lineage: Eukaryota; Metazoa; Chordata; Mammalia; Carnivora; Ursidae. The record is from Rfam by way of RNAcentral.
GCCUGGGUGGCUCACUUGGUAGAGCAUGUGACUCUUGAUCUCAGGGUCAUGAGUUCAAGCCCCAUGUUGGGUG